AUGCCCAUGGUGAGGAAGCAUGGAUGGCAACUCCCAGCACACACAUUCCAGAUCGUUGCAAUUACUGUUUUCUUCCUUCUGGUGGUUGCAUUUUAUGCCUUCUUUGCACCGUUUCUCGGAAAGCAAAUCCUUGAGUAUGUCGCAGUCGUUAUCUACUCUCCUGUGGCAUUCGCUGUCCUCAUCCUGUAUAUCCGGUGCACUAGUAUAAACCCUGCAGAUCCUGGGAUCAUGUCAAAGUUUGACGAUGGCUAUGUCAAUGCACCAGAAAGUAAUACUGGCUUGCAGUGCACCAAUUUGCCUGCAAAAACUGGCAUUGCUACUGGAACCAACUCCCCAACAUCUACUUGUAGAAGCUCUCUAGAUGGGCGUACUAACCAUGGAGGUUUGGCUGCUGGAGACACAGAUAUAAAUAUAAGAAUGCAACCACUAAGAAGAUCAGGGUGCUACUUCGGAGGCUUUAUUUGCGCUUUGUUUGUUAAGGAGGAUUGCAGGAAGUCUGAUGAUUCAGAGAAUCAAGUUGAUGCAGAAGAUGCACUGUUUUGCACACUAUGUAAUGCUGAGGUUCGCAAAUUCAGUAAACAUUGCAGAAGUUGUGACAAGUGUGUGGAUGGAUUUGAUCAUCACUGCCGGUGGCUAAAUAACUGUGUUGGACGCAAGAACUAUUUCACAUUUUUUGCUCUGAUGACUACGAGUCUCCUCUGGCUUGCUAUUGAAGUUGGAGUAGGCAUUGCUGUUCUUGUUAUGUGCUUCGUCAACAUGAAUGCAGAAAAAAUUAUUCAAGACAAGCUUGGGAAUGGAUUAACUCGUCUUCCGUUUGCAACUAUCGUAGGAAUAUUUACUCUUCUUUCUCUAGUUGCCUGCGUACCUUUGGGAGAACUCUUCUUCUUCCACAUGCUAUUGAUCAGAAAGGGGAUCACCACUUAUGAAUACGUUGUUGCGAUGAGAGCUAUGAGUGAAGUGCCUCAAGAUGAAGAGGAAGAUGAGAGAGCAAACAUUAUUUACUCCCCAACAAAUUCAGCAACUAGUGGGUUCAGCGGCGGAAGUUCACUUGGUCUUCACUACAAGGGUGCAUGGUGCACACCUCCAAGGAUUUUCGUUGAUCAGGAUGAAGUUAUCCCACAUUUGGAGCAUGGCAUGGCACCAUCUACCGUCGACCCUGAUGCCACUGGACAUGCUGAAAGACCAAACAAAGCCAAGAGGCAAGUCAAAAUCAGUGCCUGGAAACUUGCAAAGCUGGACGGCAAUGAGGCGAUGAAAGCUGCCGCAAGAGCUCGGGCAUCGUCCUCCGUCCUCCGGCCUGUAGGUGCGCGUGGCCCUGGCUCCACUGGCAACUCUCAUCCUCAGAGUAUCGCGAGCCAGGAUGACUACGAGACCGGCACGCAGAGUGCUAGUAGUUUGAGCAGCCCAGUCCACAUCCAGAAGCUUGCACCUCGCACCCAGAUGAAUGUGCCGCCGCCUCGACCGCCGGAGAGGCCUGGUUUUCCGACCACGCAGGCAACCAAUCCAAUAAUGUUCCGGCCAGCAACAUCCUACGCUCGCGAGAACCGAAGAGCGUCGGUUGUUUGGGAUCAAGAUGCUGGUCGGUAUGUGUCUGUGGCAUCCGCACCUGCAAGACCUGGGGGAGUUGCUGCUGGUUCUUCUACUAGAGCGCCACGUUUCUUGGAAAACCCAAGUGGUGGGAGAAAUCUUGCGCCAAUGAGUGCCUCUUCCUUGGCAUUACCAUCUGGACAGCCGUCUGAGAGACUGGCCUACUCUGGACAGUCGAUAUUCUUGGGCGGGCCGGUUCUGGGUGCUGCUGCUGAAUCUCGAACGAAUGAGGCCAACACAAGAGCACGGCCGGAUGACAGUGGGGAGCUCAACGCCGAUCAGCACCAUGCAAGGGGGACUGGGGAGAGGGGGCCAACGGCCGAGUCUUUCCCACCGGGAACAUUUCAAAAGAAACCACCAUUCAACAGGUGA
This 1959-nucleotide ribosomal RNA is filed under the name Triticum aestivum (bread wheat). RNAcentral's name for it is "partial small subunit ribosomal RNA". Lineage: Eukaryota; Viridiplantae; Streptophyta; Magnoliopsida; Poales; Poaceae. The record is from RNAcentral.